Long non-coding RNA from Homo sapiens (human), 912 nucleotides. RefSeq lists it as uncharacterized. The transcript is spliced from 2 exons. The record is from RefSeq and is a predicted model, not a curated record. Lineage: Eukaryota; Metazoa; Chordata; Mammalia; Primates; Hominidae.
UUAAGUUUAUACCUUUUAAAAAAGGAAACUUAAAAAUCAGUGGUGGGUGACCUCUGGAGGCAACUGGAAAAAAUAUACUGCUGCUUUCAAGAGUGAAGUGGGGAAUGAAGAAUCAGAAAGUAGAUCUUUCCAUUUAGAGAAGGCUUUUUCUUUUUUUUUUUUUUACAUUUAAUCAGGGUGAAUUAAAAUAUUUAAUUUAAAAAUGGCUUUACUGAACCUCAAUUCAGUUAGGUAAUUAAUCAAUUCAGUUAGGUAAUAGCUACUAAGUAUGUAAUACAAUGUUAGGGGAGAGACAUAUAACAUCCAUAGUUUCAAUCUCAUUGAGUUUAUAAUCUACUAAGGAACUGAAGAUAAGUGCUAAAAGAACUGUAACACGAGGUAAAACCUGUGACAAGAUUUAGGAGCAGCACAACUAUAUAGUUGUGAAACUAAACCAGCCUCAAGGCUGAAAGGCAGGUGAGAAAAGACUACCUACCAAAGUAGGUUUUGUUUGUUUGUUUGUUUGUUUGUUUGUUUUAACAUGGAUUCUCCAAAGAUAGGUAGAAAAGUCCUGGUUUGGCGUCAUUAGUCUACUUCAGCCCCUCUCUCACUGAUUACGACUGAAAGACUCAUGACAAAAUACAAAUGGCAACUACCUGCCGCCUCUGAAAAGUAAAUAAAGAAUUGAGGUAGGGAGUCAAAACUUAGAAACCUGCAAGGGGAUGAAUUUCCUGGCUUUUUUCUUCUUUUCUUGUGGUUUGUCCUGAGGAGAGACCCCAGCUGGGAACUGUUGGGUGGCAUGGGUAGCUAAAACUCGAAUAGAAAUCUCAUCUUUCUGUGCUGAAAGGAAAUAACGGUUAGCCCAGAACUCUAUUUUCAGUGAAAAUAUUUUCAGGAAUCAAAGUGAAAUAAAGACAUUCUCAUAUGAAGGAA